Molecule: ribosomal RNA, 253 nt
Filed under: uncultured bacterium
Lineage: Bacteria
Description: partial 16S ribosomal RNA
Rfam family: Bacterial small subunit ribosomal RNA
Source: RNAcentral
UACGUAGGGUGCAAGCGUUAAUCGGAAUUACUGGGCGUAAAGCGUGCGCAGGCGGUUUUGUAAGUCUGACGUGAAAUCCCCGGGCUCAACCUGGGAACUGCAUUUGUGACUGCAUCGCUGGAGUGCGGCAGAGGGGGAUGGAAUUCCGCGUGUAGCAGUGAAAUGCGUAGAUAUGCGGAGGAACACCGAUGGCGAAGGCAAUCCCCUGGGAUAACACUGACGCUCAUGCACGAAAGCGUGGGUAGCAAACAGG